Molecule: long non-coding RNA, 342 nt
Filed under: Brassica napus (rape)
Lineage: Eukaryota; Viridiplantae; Streptophyta; Magnoliopsida; Brassicales; Brassicaceae
Description: long non-coding RNA (BNAP_LNC022023)
Source: RNAcentral
UCCGCCGGAGAUUUCAGAGGUUGCAAGUUAUGGUGCUUUGUUGACAGCCAGAGACAGUGUCAGCCUCGCUGGGAAGUUGAGGACGAUUCGAUGAAAUGGAGGCUGGUUAUGGAGACGAUUCGGCUUCCGGUGACGACGAUGACUUCGGUUUUCGCGGCAAGCUUGAGUGGUCAAGCGGUGGCGAUGAUUGGCGGCGGCGGGGAAGAAAGCGGGACGACGAUGAUGAUGAUGAUGACGAAGGGGGAGAAAAAUGGCGGGAAGUGGAGCCACGUCAGCACUCCGUCUGUUUUUUCAAGUCUUCCUUUCUCCUAUGCUUCAAUCUACGUCUAAUGAUCUGAAGCU